CUCAUGUGUACAGCCCAAAGGUUGUUACUUCUGAACAAAUUCUGUUCAGCUGGGAUUUCCAAGUGCUACAUUAUAUUUUAAUAUGUACUUUAAUAUUAUUUUGAAGUUCUUUGGGUAAUUGCAUCUUCAACUAAUUGCAUCAUGGAUUUAUGAUACAGUUUAUGUGGUGCUUGUUCCUCACAACUGCCUCCUCAGCUAGGAAUCAUUUUGCUCUUCUCGAAUUGAGUAGAAAUAUUGUUUGGUAAAACUUCCUUCCCCAUCCAGUUCUUAAGAAAACAAAACCUUCACUUUGAUUUUGUGCAUUUAUAGUCAAAGACUUUCCAAGUAAAGAGCAUUGAUCUGAAAAAUGCUUACAGCAGCACUCAUCAUUUUCGAACUACUUCAGUACAUAGACUAAAACAGAGGCUUAAUGUAUUGGGUAUUGCGUGUAUCCUGUUUUUAUGUGUUUUACUUCCUUGAGUUAAACUCAUGAGAUUAUCUUUUAGAAAUCUAUUGCAUUAAAUGCCAUUCUGCAGCCUUAACUGAACCUAUCAAUGACUAACAGUUUUUUUUUCUUUCUUUCUUUUUUUUUUCUAAAUAGACAAAUCCAGCUAGACACUAACUGUGAAGUAGAUCUGCUCAGCCUGUGUGUGUGUAUAAGCUUCUUAGAAUUUGCUGCUGUUUUCAUUCCUGUUAUUUGUGCAUCUUUUGUGGAUAUGUGGAUAUGCUUGUAAAUCUGUUUUCUGGAUUGUUUGGGAGGUUGGAAGGUGAUCCUAAGUGUGUCCAAGGAAGGAAAGCAUUACAGUGAGCAGAGAUGAAUACAGAUACAAAUGUCCCAUCGACUGCUUAGAAGCCAUACUAUUUGACAGCAUUUGGUUGAGGUUUUCCAUAUGUCAACGUAGUAGAAACUACAGAUUUCAAAAUUGAAUUUUUGUGAAAGUUGAAAGAAUUUUCUGUAGUAUUUUAAAGGAUUUUGAGGACACACUGUUGGGAUCUAAUUUGUACAUUCUCAGAAUGAGAAUAUGCUUAACUCUGGCUACAGCAAAGCAUUUAUGAAAACGUUCUCUUGCUAAUACAGAUCUUCUAGUUCUUUGACACACCUGCACCAUUUUUAAACAUGUCCAAGGAACUAGGUAAAUACAGAGACUAUUUGGCCAGACCCAGCUUUGUCUGCUACUGAGAUUCUGCUGCCAGCUACAGCCAGGUGGUAAAUUCAAGCCCAGCUUAAGGAUAUUUUUUUAAGAUGCAGUCAGUUCAGCAAAGACCACCUGGGAGCGGAGCAGAGAUUGCUGUUUAAGGAAUUGAGCUGACGUAACAGCUCCAGUAUAUCUCCCAGUAAUUGAACUGGAAAUGCUGUCCUCUGCUUUUAGGAUUUACAGAAGGUUGGUCUGCUUUGACCUGACGGCAAUUUUAAAUAGUAUGGUUAAGUUUUUUCAGUUUCCACAACCAACUGAACACAGUCAUGUGGCACGGACCACAGCCAGUGCCUUUGACCACCUGCGUAUGUGACCAGUUGCCCAUUGAUUAGGGGCUGACUUACAUAGAAUUUUAGUCUCAUUCCUGUAAGUUCCACAAUAAGCUUGACUAUGUGUGACCAUGUGUAAACAAGUGUAUAUAGGCGUCUGAUUUUAGCAAAGACAUCCUUGAACUUCAGUAUUUAACUUGAAGUCAGCCCUGGUUUUAAGUAUGGUGAGGUUGAACCCUCUUCUCCUUCUCUAGUCUGCUCCCCUUGAA
Molecule: long non-coding RNA, 1713 nt
Organism: Anser cygnoides (Swan goose)
Lineage: Eukaryota; Metazoa; Chordata; Aves; Anseriformes; Anatidae
Source: Ensembl